CCUACGGGGGGCAGCAGUGGGGAAUAUUGGACAAUGGGGGCAACCCUGAUCCAGCCAUGCCGCGUGUGUGAAGAAGGCCCUCGGGUUGUAAAGCACUUUCAGUGAGGAAGAACGCCUGGUGGUUAAUACCCAUCAGGAAAGACAUCACUCACAGAAGAAGCACCGGCUAACUCCGUGCCAGCAGCCGCGGUAAUACGGAGGGUGCGAGCGUUAAUCGGAAUUACUGGGCGUAAAGCGCGCGUAGGUGGCUUGAUAAGCCGGUUGUGAAAGCCCCGGGCUCAACCUGGGAACGGCAUCCGGAACUGUCAAGCUAGAGUGCAGGAGAGGAAGGUAGAAUUCCCGGUGUAGCGGUGAAAUGCGUAGAGAUCGGGAGGAAUACCAUUGGCGAAGGCGGCCUUCUGGACUGACACUGACACUGAGGUGCGAAAGCGUGGGUAGCAAACAGGAUUAGAUACCCCGGUAGUC
RNAcentral lists this ribosomal RNA (465 nucleotides) under Vreelandella stevensii. RNAcentral's name for it is "partial 16S ribosomal RNA". It matches the Rfam family "Bacterial small subunit ribosomal RNA", at positions 338 to 795 of the family's 1533-position model. Lineage: Bacteria; Pseudomonadati; Pseudomonadota; Gammaproteobacteria; Oceanospirillales; Halomonadaceae. The record is from RNAcentral.